RNAcentral lists this ribosomal RNA (346 nucleotides) under uncultured Capnocytophaga sp. RNAcentral's name for it is "bacterial SSU rRNA". It matches the Rfam family "Bacterial small subunit ribosomal RNA", at positions 8 to 358 of the family's 1533-position model. Lineage: Bacteria; Pseudomonadati; Bacteroidota; Flavobacteriia; Flavobacteriales; Flavobacteriaceae. The record is from RNAcentral.
AGAGUUUGAUCCUGGCUCAGGAUGAACGCUAGCGGCAGGCCUAACACAUGCAAGUCGAGGGAGAAGCCCUCUCGGGGGCAGAAACCGGCGCACGGGUGCGUAACGCGUAUGCAACCUACCUUUCACAGGGGGAUAGCCCGAAGAAAUUUGGAUUAAUACCCCAUAAUAUUAUUGGAAGGCAUCAUUUGAUAAUUAAAACUGCGGUGGUGAAAGAUGGGCAUGCGUCCUAUUAGCUAGUUGGAGUGGUAACGGCACCCCAAGGCUACGAUAGGUAGGGGUCCUGAGAGGGAGAUCCCCCACACUGGUACUGAGACAGGACCAGACUCCUACGGGAGGCAGCAGAAGG